AGCCCUGGCUGCUGCUGUGCUAGGCCUGCUCUGCGUGCAGCUGGGCCCUGGACCUAAGGGUGAGGAGCUGUUCCACAGCCUGCAGCCUCUGCUGGUCUCUGUGCUCAGUGACAGCACAGCUAGCCCUGCUGCCCGGCUCCACGUGAGUGUGCCUGUGCCCCAUGAAACCCUUCCUGCACCUUAUCCCUCAGCAGAGUGGUGGGUUCCCCCUAUCUUCAGCCUCCCUUACUCUGAGGGGAGUGAGCUCCAGGGCUGGGAACCCAGGUUCACCCGCUGACCGUGGCAUUGCAUUGCCCUCCUCCCAACAGUGUGCUUCUGCCCUUGGCCUGGGCUGCUACGUGGCUGCCGCUGACAUCCAGGACCUGGUCUCUUGCCUUGCCUGCUUAGAAAGUGUUUUCAGCCGGUUCUAUGGCUUGGGCAGCUCCACAAGUCCUGUGGUUCCUGCCAGCCUGCACGGCCUGCUCUGUGCUGCCCUGCAGGCCUGGGCAUUGCUGCUCACCAUCUGCCCCAGCACCCAAAUCAGCCACAUCCUUGACAGGCAGCUGCCCCGGCUGCCCCAGCUCUUGUCCAGUGAAAGUGUGAACCUGCGGAUCGCUGCCGGUGAAACCAUUGCACUGCUCUUUGAGCUUGCCCGGGACCUUGAGGUGCGAGGGACAAGGAUGGGGGGUGCUUGGUGACACCACCUGCCCAU
Molecule: small RNA, 691 nt
Filed under: Pan troglodytes (chimpanzee)
Lineage: Eukaryota; Metazoa; Chordata; Mammalia; Primates; Hominidae
Description: retained intron
Source: RNAcentral